Molecule: ribosomal RNA, 497 nt
Filed under: uncultured bacterium
Lineage: Bacteria
Description: partial 16S ribosomal RNA
Rfam family: Bacterial small subunit ribosomal RNA
Source: RNAcentral
GAUGAACGCUGGCGGCGUGCCUAAUACAUGCAAGUCGAGCGAACAGACGAGGAGCUUGCUCCUCUGACGUUAGCGGCGGACGGGUGAGUAACACGUGGAUAACCUACCUAUAAGACUGGGAUAACUUCGGGAAACCGGAGCUAAUACCGGAUAAUAUUUUGAACCGCAUGGUUCAAAAGUGAAAGACGGUUUUGCUGUCACUUAUAGAUGGAUCCGCGCCGCAUUAGCUAGUUGGUAAGGUAACGGCUUACCAAGGCAACGAUGCGUAGCCGACCUGAGAGGGUGAUCGGCCACACUGGAACUGAGACACGGUCCAGACUCCUACGGGAGGCAGCAGUAGGGAAUCUUCCGCAAUGGGCGAAAGCUUGACGGAGCAACGCCGCGUGAGUGAUGAAGGUCUUCGGAUCGUAAAACUCUGUUAUUAGGGAAGAACAAAUGUGUAAGUAACUAUGCACGUCUUGACGGUACCUAAUCAGAAAGCCACGGCUAACUACGUG